GGGUUGUGAGGUUAAGCGACUAAGCGUACACGGUGGAUGCCCUGGCAGUCAGAGGCGAUGAAGGACGUGCUAAUCUGCGAUAAGCGUCGGUAAGGUGAUAUGAACCGUUAUAACCGGCGAUUUCCGAAUGGGGAAACCCAGUGUGAUUCGUCACACUAUCAUUAACUGAAUCCAUAGGUUAAUGAGGCGAACCGGGGGAACUGAAACAUCUAAGUACCCCGAGGAAAAGAAAUCAACCGAGAUUCCCCCAGUAGCGGCGAGCGAACGGGGAGCAGCCCAGAGCCUGAAUCAGUGUGUGUGUUAGUGGAAGCGUCUGGAAAGGCGCGCGAUACAGGGUGACAGCCCCGUACACAAAAAUGCACAUAUUGUGAGCUCGAUGAGUAGGGCGGGACACGUGGUAUCCUGUCUGAAUAUGGGGGGACCAUCCUCCAAGGCUAAAUACUCCUGACUGACCGAUAGUGAACCAGUACCGUGAGGGAAAGGCGAAAAGAAC
RNAcentral lists this ribosomal RNA (493 nucleotides) under Escherichia coli. Its description in RNAcentral is "bacterial LSU rRNA". It matches the Rfam family "Bacterial large subunit ribosomal RNA", at positions 1 to 524 of the family's 2925-position model. Lineage: Bacteria; Pseudomonadati; Pseudomonadota; Gammaproteobacteria; Enterobacterales; Enterobacteriaceae. The record is from RNAcentral.